GACGUAGGGGGCAAGCGUUGUCCGGAAUUAUUGGGCGUAAAGCGCUCGUAGGCGGAUCGAUAAGUCUGUGAAGAAAGACCCGGGCUCAACUCGGGGAACGGCAUAGAUACUGUUGAUCUUGAGACAGUCAGAGGAUGAUGGAAUUCCAGGUGUAGCGGUGAAAUACGUAGAUAUCUGGAGGAACACCAGUGGCGAAGGCGAUCAUCUGGGGCUGUUCUGACGCUGAGGAGCGAAAAGCUAGGGGAGCAAACGGG
Molecule: ribosomal RNA, 254 nt
Filed under: uncultured bacterium
Lineage: Bacteria
Description: partial 16S ribosomal RNA
Rfam family: Bacterial small subunit ribosomal RNA
Source: RNAcentral